Gavialis gangeticus (Gharial) is the source of this 158-nucleotide long non-coding RNA. RefSeq lists it as uncharacterized. The transcript has 2 exons. Lineage: Eukaryota; Metazoa; Chordata; Crocodylia; Gavialidae. The record is from RefSeq and is a predicted model, not a curated record.
AUUUUGUGGGUACUGCAUCAUCAGUGACUGAGUCACAGGCCUCAAGAGAAUUCAGGCACAUUGUUAUGAUUGAUCAUUUCCCAAGGAGCAGCUGUUGAAGAGGAACUGAUCCACUGUUCAAUAAAAACAAAACCUAUGCGUGCAUCACUCAGAUGAAA